UGGGAUGACGUCAAGUCCUCAUGGCCUUUAUGCCCAGGGCUACACACGUGCUACAAUGGGUGGUACAAAGAGAUGCCAACUCGCGAGAGCGCGCCAAUCUCAGAAAGCCAUCCUCAGUUCGGAUUGGAGUCUGCAACUCGACUCCAUGAAGUUGGAAUCGCUAGUAAUCGCGGAUCAGCACGCCGCGGUGAAUACCGGUUCCCGGGCCUU
RNAcentral lists this ribosomal RNA (210 nucleotides) under uncultured Smithella sp. Its description in RNAcentral is "partial 16S ribosomal RNA". It matches the Rfam family "Bacterial small subunit ribosomal RNA", at positions 1175 to 1382 of the family's 1533-position model. Lineage: Bacteria; Pseudomonadati; Thermodesulfobacteriota; Syntrophia; Syntrophales; Smithellaceae. The record is from RNAcentral.